GGAAAUCUUUUAUAGCAUUUUCCUCUAAAUCAACGUUAUGUGAAGAUUAGAAUUCUCAGAUAAUUUGCAGAAACUUUUUUUUUUAAGUCACUGACUUGUGGGACAUUGAGAUGACUCAGCAGGUAAAGGUGCUUGUGCCAAGCCUGAGUUCAGUUCCUCAUGGUAGAAGGAGAGACCUGGCUCUCACGAGUUCUCUGAUCCCCUGUGUGCAUCAUGUACACUCAUGCCCCAUGCUAAAUAGAUAAGUAUAGCAAACUUAUCAGCGUUUAACAUCACUCAGAGGCAGAGCAGAAGGACUGUGG
Molecule: long non-coding RNA, 302 nt
Filed under: Androctonus crassicauda
Lineage: Eukaryota; Metazoa; Arthropoda; Arachnida; Scorpiones; Buthidae
Source: RNAcentral